GACGGCAGCUAUAAAUAUGCAUGGCUGACCGUGACCAAUAUUGCAUAUUGGAGUGUAUGAAAUGGCUUUGAGCGUCGAAAAGAAAGCGGAAAUCCUGAAGGAAUUCGGUCGUAAGGAA
The sequence is a regulatory RNA element, 118 nucleotides long. It matches the Rfam family "Ribosomal S15 leader". Rfam says of the family: The E. coli Ribosomal S15 gene 5' UTR can form two alternative structures. One that is a series of three hairpins, The other includes a pseudoknot. This structure causes translational regulation of the S15 protein. The record is from Rfam.